This 68-nucleotide transfer RNA is filed under the name Aleochara sp. 2 EF-2015. RNAcentral describes it as "tRNA-Asp". The record is from RNAcentral. Lineage: Eukaryota; Metazoa; Arthropoda; Insecta; Coleoptera; Staphylinidae.
AAAAAUUUAGUUAAAAAAUAACCUUAGUUUGUCAAACUAAAAUUAUUAUUAUAAAAUAAUAAUUUUUA